This is a non-coding RNA of Pelobates cultripes (western spadefoot toad), 77 nucleotides long. The record is from the annotation of a GenBank genome assembly. NCBI's taxonomy places the organism in Eukaryota, Metazoa, Chordata, Amphibia, Anura, Pelobatidae.
UGCAAAGGUACAGUCAACAUUUCAGUCUGACUUGGAUUUUUUUCAAGUCGGAUUGAAACGUUGACUGUACCUUUGCA